This 433-nucleotide ribosomal RNA is filed under the name uncultured bacterium. RNAcentral's name for it is "partial 16S ribosomal RNA". It matches the Rfam family "Bacterial small subunit ribosomal RNA", at positions 29 to 507 of the family's 1533-position model. The record is from RNAcentral.
AACGAACGCUGGCGGCAUGCCUAACACAUGCAAGUCGAACGAGACCUUCGGGUCUAGUGGCGCACGGGUGCGUAACGCGUGGGAACCUGCCCUUAGGUUCGGAAUAACUCCCCGAAAGGGGUGCUAAUACCGGAUAAUUUCUUCGGACCAAAGAUUUAUCGCCUUUGGAUGGGCCCGCGUUGGAUUAGCUUGUUGGUAGGGUAAAAGCCUCCCAAGGCGACGAUCCAUAGCUGGUCUGAGAGGAAGAUCAGCCACACUGGGACUGAGACACGGCCGAGACUCCUACGGGAGGCAGCAGUGGGGAAUAUUGGAAAAUGGGCGAAAGCCUGAUCCAGCAAUGCCGCGUGAGUGAUGAAGGCCUUAGGGUUGUAAAGCUCUUUUACCCGGGAUGAUAAUGACAGUACCGGGAGAAUAAGCACCGGCUAACUCCGUG